This 1987-nucleotide long non-coding RNA is filed under the name Ananas comosus (pineapple). RNAcentral describes it as "long non-coding RNA (ACOM_LNC021442)". Lineage: Eukaryota; Viridiplantae; Streptophyta; Magnoliopsida; Poales; Bromeliaceae. The record is from RNAcentral.
AUAUGCUUGACAAUCUGACACUCUUAUGGUAAUAAAGAACACUCUUACAGCUUAAUAGAACACUAUUAUUAACUUUAUGGUUGUAAACACGCUUUUGUCAUAGUAGAACACUUCUAGGACUUAAUAGAAUAUUUUUAUCAGGUUUAUAGUUGCGAACAUGUAUGCAUUUGUAAUCUUACCCACUUAUGACUUAAUAGAACAUUCUUAAAGUUUCACAUAACACUGCUAUCAGUUGUAGACUUUAUAACAGAUUUAUGGCAUAAUAGAAUAAUUGUAAAGCAUAAUAGAACAACUCAAUAUGGGGUGUAUGGGUAGAAUAGAACACUCUUAGAGCAUAAUAGAAUACUGAAACCUUGAUUUGUAGAUAUUGUUCUUAAAUUUUUUAUAUUUAUCGGUAGUUUCCAAUUUAUGUGGUAUACAUUUGGAAUGACAGUUUGGGAUGUACAAAACUUAGCAAAGAAAAAAAAGAAGAAGAAGAAAGAAUAUGAGCAUUGUGGAUUGUUUCUCUUUGAAUUGAAUUCACGUACACGUGCAUUUUUGAGUUUUUCAUGUUUCUAUACUUCGGAGAUCAAUUGACUGAUUAAUUGAGAUGUAUGGGAGUUCAAAAAUCUAUACUUUGGAGAUCAACAUUACUGAUUAAUUGAGAAAUCUGGGAGAUCUUCUGAACUUCCAAUUAUGUUGCUAUAUCAUGGUUUUAAGACUUCAAUCUUACCCGCUUUUGUCAUAGUAGAAUAGAACACUCUUAGAGCAUAAUAGAAUACUUUUAUCAGAUUUGCAGUUGCGAACAUAUAUGCAUUCCAAUCUUAACCUCUUAUGACGUAAUAAAACAUUCUUAAAGCUUAAUGGAAGUGUGCUAUCAGUUUUAGGCUUUAUAACAGUUUUAUGCCAUAAUAGAACAGUUGUAAAGGUUAAAUAGAACACUCUUAAUAGCUAGCUUUAUGAUUGUCAACACUCCUUUGUCAUAGUAGAAUAGAACACUCUUAAGGCUUAGUAGAACAGUUGUAAAGGUGAAUAGAACAUUUUUAAUAGCUUUAUGGUUGUGAACAAUUUUUUGUCAUAGUAGAAUAGAAUAAUUUUAUUGCAUAAUAGAACAGUUAUAAAGGUUAAAAGAACACUCUAUUAGCUUUAUGGUUGUCAACACUCUUUUGUCAUAGUAGAAUAAAAUACUUUUAUGCCAUAAAAGAACAGUUGUAAAGGUUAAAAGAACACUCUUAAUAGCUAGCUUUAUGGUGUCAACACUCCUUUCUCAUAGUAGAAUAGAACACUCUUAGAGUUUAAUAGAACAGUUUUAUCAAGUUUACACUUGCGAACAUGUAUACAUUGCAAUCUUACUCUUUUGUGUCUAUUAUAAAGCUUAAUAGAAAACUGCUAUCAUUUUUUUAGUUUAGAAUAGUUUUAUGCCAUAAUAUAAUAGUUGUAAAGCUUAAUAGAACACUCUUAAUAGGUGUAUGGUUGUGAACAAUCUUUUGUCAUAGUAGAAUAGAACACUUUUUAUGCCAUAAUAUAUAGAAUAGGUGUAAAGGUUAAAAGAACACUCUAUUAGCUUUAUGGUUGUCAACACUCUUUUGUCAUAGUAGAAUAAAACACUUUUAUGCCAUAAUAGAACAGUUGUAAAGGUUAAUAGUUAAUAGAACACUCUUAAUAGCUAGCUUUAUUGUGUCAACACUCUUUUCUCAUAGUAGAAUAGAACACUCUUAGAGCUUAAUAGAAUAGUUUUAUCAAGUUUACACUUGCGAACAUGUAUACAUUGCAAUCUUACUCUUUUGUGUCUAUUAUAAAGCUUAAUAGAAAACUGCUAUCAUUUUUUUAGUUUAGAACAGUUUUAUGCCAUAAUAGAACAGUUGUAAAGCUUAAUAGAACACUCUUAAUAGGUGUAUGGUUGUGAACAAUCUUUUGUCAUAGUAGAAUAGAACACUCUUUGAGCUUACUAGAACACUAUUUUCUCGUUACUUUCAGAACGAAAUUAUGUGUUUACUUGUGGUUCAUA